CGUUCCAAUUCCAUUCAUUCCAUCAGUGAGUCACAGGUGAGAAGGGGGAGUUGUGGCGCUGCUCAGUCCAGGUGGCUGGCAGGUGCUGGCGUUACUCACACUCUUGCAACCUUGUGUUACUGACUUAAAAUCAUGUCACCUAGUGCUACAUGCAAACUUCAAGAGACAUAUGCUCCUCCUGACAGUAAGAGAAAGGAAGGCAGACGCCAGCAAUGCCUCACACUUGGUUAGUGUGAGGAGAGAGGCAGGCAGGUGGUCAGCAACAAGAGGACCCGUGUCAAGAUGGCAGUAGAUGAUGAGGAACCACUGACACACAAGGACCAGAGUGAGGGGCAAAAUGAGGUGAGGCAGUCUGGAGGACCAGCCAGCAUAGAGACCAUAUUGACAUCAGCUUUGCACAAACGUGCUGCCAAGAAACUUGGAAAGAAAUUAGGUAAAAGCAAGAAAAGUCAUUUAGAUUCUAAAGAGGAGCAUCAUGAGGGCAACACCAACAAGAAGAAGAAAAAGAGCAAGACAGUUAAGGGAACUGAAAUACAUGAGAAUCUGGAGCUUAAAGGAAGUGAGUACAGUGAGGAAAGUAAGAAGAAAGAAGAGAUCAUCACAGAGCAUUUUGGGGAAAAUGUAGCAGAAGAUGGGAGGAAAAAAGAUGAAGAUGAAAGUGAAGGAGAGGAGCAUGCCAAGGCAGUAUCCAAGGCAGACGAAGAAGUGGCCUCCCCUACCAGGGCAUACCUCAGGGCUGUGUCGGUGCCAAAGAAAAAAACAUUGAGGAAACACAAGACCACUCAAGAUAAUGGGCGGGUGUUGGGUGUCACAAUCCACAGUGCUGAUCGGCUUGAAGGGUCCCUGCUACUGUUCCCACAUCCUGUUGUUCAGGUGUACAUCUGCAACAUGGACACAGGGCAGUUUUUACAGAAAUCAUCGCCAGAGCGGAAAGUAACAUCCUAUUAUGAGAGAAGUGAAGUGGACUACAUCCUUCCCAUCAUGACCAGUCCCUUUGACAUCAAAAAGGCCAGAAGCACAUACUGCCGAUGGGAGGAGCAGUUGGUCUUUAAUGAACCACCAGAGCACUUCACCUCAGAUGACCCCCAAGUGUUGGUGUUCUUUCAACUGAUGGAUUUCCCACCCUCAGUUGACAAUAGUCCUGGCAUUCCCGAGAGUACAACCAGAGACUGGGUAACCUUUGCCUGGGCCUUCCUGAAGGUCAAAGGCACCAAUGGUCAUGUCAAUAUUGGAGAGCAGUUGAGGUUACAGAUGUGGAGGCCAAGACGUUCCUCCAAGGUGAGCCUCAAAGACCUUCACAGCUGGUGGAAGAGUGGCAGCAGAACCAAGUACCCAUCCACCCUGCAUGUCACCCUGCAGGAAGUGGUCAUCCCUCUCAACCCACAGCCAACCCUCAGAUCCAUGAUAGCAACCCAAGCAGAAGGAAUACCAUUUGACCUGGCACACUCCCUGGAACAUUCCUCCCCAGUAGGGUCAAGUGGCAGCUUAGCACACGCAGUACACAAGCCAGUGGUUGUUUGGGGCCGCAAACCCAACCAGUCCUGUAGAAUUGGCAGCUUUGUCAAGUACUGUUUUCCUCAUUCUGAAAAAGGAUGUCUUGUUGUCAAGUUCUCACAUGAUGGUCUCAGAAUUGCAUGUGGCAAUCACAAAGAAGUAUUUAUAUAUGAUGUACUGGCUGGUCACCUAGAGCAAGCAUUAUGUGGUCAUCUUGGGCUUAUUUAUGAUAUAUGCUGGAGCAUAGAUGACACCCACAUCCUUACUGCCUCAGCUGACUCAACUGCAAGAAUAUGGAAAUUGGGAAGUGCAGAAAUACAUAGCCAAAGUGAAGUAUUGGCACAUCCUUCUUAUGUUUAUGUUGCUCGAUUUGUUCCUGGUACAGUCCAUGUAGUAGUGAGUGGCUGCUAUGACCAUGUGCUCAGAGUCUGGACAUGUAGUAAGAAAGGAAGCUACUCAAUUUUGCAAGAGAUAACUAAUCAUCUUUCCUUUAUUAAUGCAUUGUGCUUUAAUGGUGAAGGGGAUGUUCUGUACUCUGGAGACAAACAAGGAAUGAUUUUUGUGUGGAAUGUGAAAAUCUCCCCUAAAGAUAAAAGUAAAAGAAAGGCCAAGAUACUUAGUCUUAAACAUGAGGCUAAAGUUCCAGACAUUGUUGGAAAUAUAAUUAAUUCCAUUACCGCUCAUCCCGGUGGCUUCCGUUUAUUGGUUCACACAAGGGACAGUCAGUUGAGGCUUGUCAAUCAUCAACACUGGACAGUGACUCACAACCUUCGUGGUGCUCUCAACGUGCGUGAACAGCUGCGGAGCUGCAUCAGCCCCUGUGGAACGUGGGUGGUCUCUGGAAGUGAAGAUGGAGGACUCUUUGUGUGGAAUUCAGACACAGGAGAGAUGGCUGCAUCAGUGAUGGACCUGCCAUUAUAUGGAACUGUUUCCUGUGCGGACUUCCAUCCUCAUGACCACAUGGUGGCAGUCUGCUCUUAUUCUAGUGAAUCUCCUGUCUUAAUUUUAGCUCAUGCACCAAAUGCACCACCAAAUACAAAUCUGUCAAUCUCAGUUGAAGCAUCUUCAACAAGGAAUCACUACAGCUCCUUGAGAAUCUCAAGUCCACAGCAGUCAGUGUUGCAAGGACUGGAUGCUUACAAGACAGUUACAAGCAGGACAUCAGUCACAGUGGAGAAAAUUCACAAAAUUUCUCAAGAACACAAUAUGCUGUCAUUAGGCAACUGCAAUUCAACCUUUUGCUUUUCAUCAGAAGAAAAGGAAAAUUCACUCUUUACAAUGAAGAUUCACGAGUCAAAAAGUGGGCAACACUUCAUGAUGGCUCGAGAAGAUGCCAUUCUCAAAAAGCUGGACUCCGUGCUAAAGAUGGCCACUGAGGAGCCACUCAACUUUACUAUGGACAGCAGCAGGCCCAUCCAGACAAUCAAGCACAGCUCAAUGGGCACUGCCCACAAAUGGGCAAAGUCCACAGGCACAACUCUAGUGGUUUCCGCAUGCUGUUCAGCUGGCCUAGUAACCCAGACAGCAACUGAAGAAAAGAAGUGAAGGUUUCAUCGCCCAGGGCCAUCUGGCCACAGUUUUGUAUGACUACACAGGCUCUGACAAGAGAGAGCUCUCACUUAGACAAGGAGACUUUGUGUUAGUAGUGCAGGAGAUCAAUGCUGACUGGUGGCUGGUGCAGACAGCUGAUGGGAGGUCCACUGGCCUGGUUCCAGCACCUUACCUCAACAAGCUGCCUCACAGAAACCAGGAAACAGAAAAAAUUGAA
This 3262-nucleotide unclassified non-coding RNA is filed under the name Portunus trituberculatus (swimming crab). RNAcentral describes it as "jouberin-like, transcript variant X2". Lineage: Eukaryota; Metazoa; Arthropoda; Malacostraca; Decapoda; Portunidae. The record is from RNAcentral.